CCUACGGGAGGCAGCAGUGAGGAAUAUUGGUCAAUGGGCGCGAGCCUGAACCAGCCAAGUAGCGUGAAGGAUGACUGCCCUACGGGUUGUAAACUUCUUUUAUAAAGGAAUAAAGUGAGGCACGUGUGCCUUUUUGUAUGUACUUUAUGAAUAAGGAUCGGCUAACUCCGUGCCAGCAGCCGCGGUAAUACGGAGGAUGCGAGCGUUAUCCGGAUUCAUUGGGUUUAAAGGGUGCGCAGGCGGGCCUUUAAGCCGGCGGUGAAAUCGCGGGGCUCAACCCCGCCGAGCCGUCGGAACUGGGGGCCUUGAGUGCGGCGGAGGCAUGCGGAAUGCGCGGUGUAGCGGUGAAAUGCAUAGAUAUCGCGCAGAACCCCGAUUGCGAAGGCAGCGUGCCGUGCCGCCACUGACGCUGAGGCACGAAAGCGCGGGGAUCGAACAGGAUUAGAUACCCUUGUAGUC
This 459-nucleotide ribosomal RNA is filed under the name uncultured bacterium. RNAcentral's name for it is "partial 16S ribosomal RNA". It matches the Rfam family "Bacterial small subunit ribosomal RNA", at positions 338 to 795 of the family's 1533-position model. The record is from RNAcentral.